GCACCAAAAUAUUUAGAUUUAUGCUAAUCCUGAGAAGCUUAGAAGGAGUAGAGAAGAAAGAGAUAUUCCAACCAAUUUCUUUAUUUUUAUUUUCUUUCAACCCCUCCUUUUGCCACUGACCAGUGGGUCUCUUAGGUCAGUCCAGCACUCCAGCAGCGUCAGCUACUCAACUCCAAGGGACACGCGCCGGCAAGGGCCGCAACACCCUGCCCGGCUGUCUCUUCAUCUUUUCUCCUCCUCCACUCUUCACUCUCCCCCCUGGAUCCCCUUUCUUGUCAAGCUCGCCGGGGACGCCGCCGCUUGCCGUUGCAACGCCAGCCGUUGGUCCGGAUCGACGCUCACGCCUCCGGCUCCGACAUGCACGCCCGUUGGACGCCGUCGUGAACCACCUCGCUUCUCCGCGUGCAGGUACGUCUUGAACCAAGGUCGCCUUUCUCGGUUCCGUCGGCCGCUGUUGCGACGCCGCCGCGGUCAUCCUCCUCACCGAGCAGCUCUAGGGGCCGUGACGGGCUCCGCGUUGUCCGCGUCUCCUCUGGACCACGGACUCGAAGCCGUGGGUCCCUCCUACUUCUUUCUCGACCGCUGACCGCCAUUGACGCCGUCCAAAACUUGUUGCCGUCCGUCCUCUCGCCUCCCUGCUCCGUCCGACCCCGCCACGAACAGCAAGGUUAAACAGGUACAUCUCAUGUUGUAUUGGCUGAAAGGCUGUGUGAUUGCCGGCUAUGGGAACCAUCAUAGCCACAUGUGUGCACACAUUGUCAUCAUCAUCGGACGACGAAACACUGUAGUUAGUGGUGUCCGUUUGUUCGCGUGUGAAGAAACCAGAUGGUGGCCGGGCUGUAUUGUUGGGUUGUGAUCUUGGUCUCCUCUCAUAAUCAACAACUGAUAAAAAUGAAGGAACCAACUGAGGAUGGUAAACCUAGGGAACUGUAAAGAUGGUGGCAGGAGGAUGUACCUGUGGCGUCCGGAGAUGGGUGCAGCAACAGCCGGCGCACGGAGGUGGCUGGUUCCGGCGGCCCUGUCGAGAAACAUCAUGAAACGGGAGCAGAGGUGCUGGUGCAGCAGAGGCUGUAGCAUGAGACGGGAGCAGAGGUUGCUGGUUCCGGCGGCAGCAGAGGCCGCAACUCGCACAUCUGCCGUGAGAGCGAUGUGGCCGGACUGGUUGCGGCCGAUGCGGUCGGGCGGCGACUAUGGGUCCAGCGAGAGGAGGAACUGGCGUUUCUGGCGACGUGCGUUCAGGGCUCGAUGGAGCUCUCGCACUUGUUUUUUUGUUUGGUUUGGCUCCGACGGUUUUUUUUGGUUUGGCAUGGACGUCUUUUUUGGUCAAAUGCAUGGAGUGGACGUGGUUCAUGGAUUGA
This is a long non-coding RNA of Triticum dicoccoides, 1358 nucleotides long. RefSeq lists it as uncharacterized. NCBI's taxonomy places the organism in Eukaryota, Viridiplantae, Streptophyta, Magnoliopsida, Poales, Poaceae. The record is from RefSeq and is a predicted model, not a curated record. The transcript has 4 exons.